AGAACGAACGCUGGCGGCAGGCUUAACACAUGCAAGUCGAACGCUCGUAGCAAUACGGGAGUGGCAGACGGGUGAGUAACGCGUGGGAACAUACCCUCCGGUUCGGAAUAACUCAGGGAAACUUGAGCUAAUACCGGAUACGGCUGAGAGGCGAAAGAUUUAUCGCCGGAGGAUUGGCCCGCGUUCGAUUAGCUUGUUGGUGAGGUAACGGCUCACCAAGGCGACGAUCGAUAGCUGGUCUGAGAGGAUGAUCAGCCACAUUGGGACUGAGACACGGCCCAAACUCCUACGGGAGGCAGCAGUGGGAAUAUUGGACAAUGGGCGCAAGCCUGAUCCAGCCAUGCCGCGUGAGUGAUGACGGCCUUAGGGUUGUAAAGCUCUUUCGCUCGGGACGAUAAUGACGGUACCGAGAUAAGAAGCCCCGGCUAACUUCGCGCCAGCAGCCGC
Molecule: ribosomal RNA, 447 nt
Filed under: uncultured bacterium
Lineage: Bacteria
Description: SSU rRNA
Rfam family: Bacterial small subunit ribosomal RNA
Source: RNAcentral